This 439-nucleotide ribosomal RNA is filed under the name uncultured bacterium. RNAcentral describes it as "partial 16S ribosomal RNA". It matches the Rfam family "Bacterial small subunit ribosomal RNA", at positions 339 to 795 of the family's 1533-position model. The record is from RNAcentral.
CUACGGGCGGCUGCAGUGAGGAAUAUUGCACAAUGGGGGGAACCCUGAUGCAGCAACGCCGCGUGGAGGAUGACGCAUUUCGGUGUGUAAACUCCUUUUAUAUGUCAAGAAAAUGACGGUAGCAUAUGAAUAAGCACCGGCUAACUCCGUGCCAGCAGCCGCGGUAAUACGGAGGGUGCAAGCGUUACUCGGAAUCACUGGGCGUAAAGGACGCGUAGGCGGGUUGGAAAGUCAGGUGUGAAAUCCUACAGCUUAACUGUAGAACUGCACUUGAAACUUCUAAUCUAGAGUAUGGGAGAGGGAGAUGGAAUUAGUGGUGUAGGGGUAAAAUCCGUAGAUAUCACUAGGAAUACCUAAAGCGAAGGCGAUCUCCUGGAGCAUUACUGACGCUAAGGCGUGAAAGCGUGGGGAGCAAACAGGAUUAGAUACCCUUGUAGUC